RNAcentral lists this transfer RNA (68 nucleotides) under Holothuria forskali. Its description in RNAcentral is "transfer RNA-Ile". Lineage: Eukaryota; Metazoa; Echinodermata; Holothuroidea; Aspidochirotida; Holothuriidae. The record is from RNAcentral.
GGGUUCACUCCAAGAAGGAAAGCCUGACCGAUAAUCAGGCUAGAGAGGUUAAACUCCUCUUGAACCCU